This 19750-nucleotide long non-coding RNA is filed under the name Vitis vinifera (wine grape). RNAcentral's name for it is "long non-coding RNA (VVIN_LNC002162)". Lineage: Eukaryota; Viridiplantae; Streptophyta; Magnoliopsida; Vitales; Vitaceae. The record is from RNAcentral.
CGCCUCCAGAAUCUGCCGAAGUAAUCUGACUUUAUGCGGACGCUUCCAUCGUGAGUGGUGAAGACCUCGUUCCCCACCGUCGGGUCUCCAAUGUCACUUGAUGCGAACUCCAGAUAUGGGUGUCCCUCGAUCUUCCGGGCACUGAGGUAGUGGCCAUUAUCGCCCUUGAAGGCGAUAUGUUUUGGCAAUAUCAAUAGUGAUUCCCAAUCAAUGAUUGUACAGACAUCGCAGAGGUCGUUGUCAGCCGAAGUUGAUCCUGCAAACAAACAGGAACCAUAAGGAGGUGGAAGCCUCCAUAAGCAUGCAUAGUGUCCGAGCUGGACGUGGCGAAAUCGGAGUGUUUGAGCAUCGCCAUCUACGUGCACAGGCUCGAACAAGGUGCAUGACCAUGACGAUUGGUCUUCAUCUGGUUCGUCCGCCCCGGCAACAAUCCACCAGUGGUUCUUGGACCACCUUACCCAGUAUUUGUUGUUGUAGCAGCAUCUUAUGUGCACUAGUCCCCCGCCAUUCUUUGCCCUCUCCACUUGGUACUUUGAGUAGGGUGUCACGACCUCCUCUCCCGAGAAUUGGAGAAAUCCAUGAAUUUGCACAUCUUCAUGGAUGUACCGCAAGUACUUGUUGUUAUAUUUUGAUUUGAGCACCACAUACCUUGGUAAUGCCAUUUCCUCUUUAAUCACUUCUCACUGCACUUUUCUUCCCUUCACUCGGCCUUAUUUAUAAGGGAAAAAACUAUACUUAGAUGUGAAACCAUAUUUCACAUCGUAGACUUUCAUUUGCAUUCCCAUUCUGAUUUGGUAGAUAAAUUUAAGAUGCUAUUUAUUCCUCUGGGUCCCGCAACUUUCAUUGAAUAUCAUUAAUAGCAAGACUAAAACCACAUGUCAAAUUGUAGACUUUUACUCGUAUUCUCAUUUACAUUCCCGUUCUCAUUUGGUAGAUACAAAUAAAUUUAAGAUGCUAUACAUUUCUGUGUCCCACAACUUUUAUUGAAUAUCAUUGAUAGCAAGACUUAAACCACAUGUCAAGUUGUAAACUUUGAUUUGUAUUCUCAUUUGCAUUCUUGUUCUCAUUUGGUAGAUAAAGAAAUUUAAGAUCCUAUAUAUUUAUGUGUCCCACAACUUUUAUUGAAUAUCAUUAAUAGCAAGACUAGAACCACGUCAAAUUAUAGACUUUGAUUCGUAUUCUCAAUUGCAUUACCAUUCUCAUUUGGUAAAUGUAUAUACCAAUAAAUCAAGACAUCCUUUCUUUCCAUUGCAUGCUUAGUGUGGAUAAGAAAGACUCCCAUAAAACAAAUAAUGUAUAUAUGACAUAAAAAUAAAACUAUGCAUUAAACAUAAAACAUUUUAGUGGUAAAAAUAGUAAAUUGGAUUGCAAAUAGUGAGAUUUCAUUAAUAAUCAUAUAACCUAUAAAGACACGUUGAUGGUAGAAGUUAGGUUUUUUGGGUCUCCUAUAAAUAAUUUCACAUGACAUCUAUUAUUAAUACACACUUCUAUAACACUCUCACUAGCCAUUUAACAAUCGUCGAUAGUCUAUAACUCAUACAUUGACUACCAUAAUUUUUUUUUGCUUUCCAUUAUUUUAUUUUUCUCUUCAGUAUAAUAUUUAUAAUAUGAUAAUAUUGAUUAUUUAGAUUUUGUGAGAAAUAAGAAGAUAAAUACAUGAUCUAGUUUUAUUCCUAAUUGAAUAAACCAAAAACUAAAUUUAAAUAUAUAUAAAACCAUGUUUCACAUUGUGGAUUUAGAUUCACAUUCCCAUUUGCAUUCUCAUUCUUAUUUGGUGGAUAGCAAUGAUAUAAUAUAUUAUUUCUUCCAUUAUAUAUGUCUCUCAAUAUGAAUUAAACUACAAGACAUCAUUUCUUUCUAUAUCACAUGCUUGGCUAAUGAUAAGAAAGACUUUGACAUAACAAGUAAUAUGAAUGCGUGAAAUGUAAAAGAUUUAAUGGAGAAAAGGAUAAGAGUGAACAUAAGUGGUAAGUGGUGGGAUUUCCUUAAUCAUUAAUAAUUAAUAAUGAUAGAAGUUAGGUUUGUCAAGUCUUCCUUUGUAAAUAAUUAUUAUUUUACUAGAAUUUAUAAAUACACAAAAAAAAAUAGUAGUAGAUGUGAAUCUCAUGUAAAAAGCUAAUCUUGAGUGAUAAAUGGUGUUAACCCUUAUGAGAAGAGUCGUCUUUAAUUCUAAUUUUUGUGGGAUUGGAAACAUGACUCGGAUUGGAUCAAACAAAUGAAAUUGAUUUUUCAAAAUUUUAUAUUUUAUUGCAUCAAUAAAUAUCUUAAUCUAAUAUAUAAUUUAUCAACCUUUUAAAUUAUGAAAACAAAAUUGACUUAAUAUAUAUAAUUUUUAAACUUGUGUUUCAAUACCCAAUCACUGGUCAUUAAAAAGUCAUCAAUUUCAAAUAUUCUAUAACUCAUACAUGGACUUCUAAAUUUUAUUUUUUCAACUGACUUUAUUUUCUCUUAAGUAUAAUUGUCAAAACUAGAUAAUAUUGAUUAUUUAGAUUUUAUGACAAAUUUGAAGAUAAAAUAUACAAUCCAACUUGUUCCAAAUUGAACUAACCAAAAAUUAAAUUUAAAUGUAAAACCAAAAUUUACUUUAUAGACUAAGAUUUGCAUUCCCAUUUGAAUUCUCAUUCUUAUUUUGUGAAUACUAAUAAAUUAAAAACACUAUUUCUUUCUAUAUGCAUGCCUCACAACAUUUAUUGGAUAUCACUAACAGCAAGACUAAAACAAGGCUUCACAUUCUAUACUUCGAUUCUCUUUUCCAUUUGCAGCUCCAUUCUCAUUUGGGGGAUACCAAUAAAUCUAAAACAUAAUUUCUCUUUAUAUAUCUCACAAAAUUUAUUAGAUAUUAGUAAAUGUGUGACGUCAUAUUUCUUUUUAUCACAUGCUUGGUAAAGAUAAGGACUCACAAAACAUAUAACAUUGAGGGGUGAAAAUGGUUAAGCGAUUUGUAAGCAGUGAGAUUUGAUUAAUACUUAUAUAACCUACAAAGACAUGUUGAUGGUAGAAGUUAGGUUUGUUGGAUCUCCUUUUGUAAAGAAUUAUUAUUUUACAUGACAUAUUAAUACUCACUCCAAAAAUAAGUGGACGUAGAACAUCAUAUGAAAUAAUAAUGAUGGAUGAUGAAUAAAGUUAAUUUCCAAAAGAAGAGUCUCUCUGACGAUUUUGAGUGGGAUUGGGAAAAGAUAGAUUAAUUUGGACCAAGAAAAUCAAUUUGACUUUUAAAAAUUUUAAAUUUUGUCGGAUUUAUUUAAAAAGAAGCUAAAAUUUUCAAUCUAAUAUAUGAAUAAUCAACAUGUUAAAUGGUUGAAAACUGAAUUCACUAGGAUAUAUCUAGAAUUUUUAAAUUUGUGUGUCAAUCUACUAUGACAUCUCACCAGUUAUCAAAUAAGCAUCAAUGAGCAUAAUAUGAUAAUAUCGAUUAUUAAGAUUUUAUGAAAAAUAUGAAGAUAAAAUACAUGAUCUAGGUCCAUUCUUAAUUGAAUUAAUCAAAAAUUAAAUUUAAAUGUAAAACCAUGUUUCACAUGGUAGACUUAGAUUUACAUUCCCAUUCCCAUUUGCAUUCUCAUUCUCAUUCUCGUUUGGUAGGUACCAAUAAUAUAAGAUAUUAUAUUUCCUUUAUAUGUAUAUGUCUCACAACAUUUAUCAAACUACAAGACAUCCUUUCUUUCUACAUCACAUGUUUGGAUAAGGAUAGGAAAGACCUUGACAUAGUAAGUCACAUAUUUAGCAUAAAAAUAAAUUUGAAAUCAUGAAAGGUAAAGUAUUCAAUGAAGAAAAUGGUAGAGUGGACUACAAGUGGUGGGAUUUUCAUUAAUAGUUAAAUAACUUAUAGAGACAUGUUCAUGGUAGAAGUUAGAUUUGUCAGUCUCACUCUUUAAAUAAUUAUUGGAUGUGACAUCUAUAAAUACACACAAAAAAAGAAGUAGAUGUAGAAUCUGAAGUAAAAACUAAUCCUAAGUUAUGAAUGAGGUUAACUCCUAUGAGAAGAGUUUUUAAUAUUAAUUUUUAUGGUGUUGAAAAAAUGAAUAGAUCACAAUCAUCCAUUCCUAAUAAUUCAUAACCCUUAUAUUGAUUCCUAUAUUUUAUAUUUUUAGUUGAUUUUAUUUUUUCUCUUAAGCAUAAUUGUCACAGCAUAGUACUAUUGAUUAUUUGGAUUUUAUGACAAAUUUGAACAAGAAGUAUAUGAUCCAACUUUUUGAAAACUUGAAUUAACCAAAAAUUAUAUUUAACUUAAAACGGUAACUCACAUAAUAAACUAAGAUUUGCAUCCUCACUUGCAUUCGCAUUCUCAUUUAGAGGAUACCAAUAAAUAAAAGACAUCAUUUCUUUCCAUGUCUUACAACAUUUAAAAACUAUGUUGCACAUUUUAAACUUAAAUUCAUAUUCACAUUCCCAUUUCUGCUCUCAUUUGGUGGAUACAAACACUUACAAGACGUGAUUUCUCUCUAUUUGACUCACUACAUUUAUUAGAUAUUAGUAAUCGCAAGACUUUCUUCUUCUUUUUUUCUAUCAAGUUCACAAAACAAGUUAUAUAUCACACAUAAAAAUAAAAAAUAAAAAAAUAAAAAAAUAAAAAGUAUUCACUAUAACAUAAAGCAUUGAAUGGUGAAAAUAGUAAAGUAUACUACAAGUAGUGAGAUUUCAUUAAUAAUUUUACAAACUAUGAAGAUAUGUUGUUGGUAGAAGUUAGGUUUGUUGGGUCUCCUUCUAUAAAUAAUUAUUAUUUUACAUGACAUCUACUAAUACCCACUCCAAAAAUAAGUAGACUUAAAACCUAAUGUGAAAUAAUAACCAAAGAUGGUAAAUAAGGUUAAUUUCCAUAAGAAGAGUCUCUCUUAUAAUUUAGUGGGGUUCAAAAAAGAUGAAUUGAUUUGGACAAAGCAAAAUCAAUUUGAUUUUUCAUCAACGUAUAUUUGCACUAAGAGCAUGUCAUUUUCUUUGGUUUUUAUGAAAAGAGUUGUGUCUAUUUUUCCCAUUUUAAAACCCUCUUUCAAAAGAAAUUUACUCAAUCUUUCAUACCAUGCUCUAGGUGCUUGUUUCAAACCAUAAAAUGCCUUUUUAAGUUUAAAAACAUGAUUAGGAAGGUUAAAACUUUGAAAAUCGGGCGGUUGUUCUGUUGGGCUUUGUGGAGCCUAGUUUUGUUUGAUCCGGUUUGGCGACCUGACCCAAAUAAUAUUGCAUGACUUUUUAAUGGGAGAUUCACUAAGGCUUGUUGGGCCCGUUUAGCCCAUUGUGGAACCACCUUUUGUAAUUAGGGUUUUUAAGUGUAGUGUGGUUGCCAUGUUAUAUAUAGAGAGAAAAUAUUGUAGCCGCUGUGGUGGUACUCUAUAUUUUUCCCUGAUAAUAGUGAUAUCCCUACAACUCCGUGGACGUAGGCAAAUUGCCGAACCAUGUAAAUAUUGUCUUGUGCAUGUGAUUGUUUUUCUUUGGCGUGUGUUUUCUCUAAUUUUUGUUUCUCACGGGUUGGGAAUUCGGUUUAAUUCCCUACAACUGGUAUUAGAGCCUAGGGUUAGGUUUGAGUGGGAGCAAUGGAAAAAGAAGCAGGAAAGGCAUCUGGAAUAGAAAAGUUUGAUGGCACAGACUUUGCGUAUUGGAAGAUGCAGAUUGAAGAUUAUCUCUAUGGGAGGAAAUUGCAUCUACCUCUUUUGGGGACAAAACCUGAGAGUAUGAAGGCUGAGGAAUGGGCGCUUCUUGACAGACAGGUUCUAGGAGUUAUUAGGUUAACUCUGUCUAGGUCUGUUGCACACAAUGUUGUAAAGGAGAAGACCACAGCAGAUCUAAUGAAGGCUUUGUCCAGUAUGUAUGAAAAGUUGUCCUCAAACAAUAAGGUGCAUCUGAUAAAGAAAUUGUUCAAUUUGAAGAUGGCAAAGAAUGCAUAAAUAGCACAACAUCUGAAUGAAUUUAAUACAAUCACAAAUCAAUUAUCGUUUGUAGAAAUUGAUUUUGAUGAUGAGAUUCGUGCUCUAAUCGUCUUGGCUUCUUUGCUAAACAGUUGGGAGGCAAUGAGGAUGACAAUAAGCAAUUCUACAGGAAAGGAAAAGCUCAAAUACAAUGAUAUACAAGAUUUAAUUCUGGCUGAGGAGAUUCACCGAAGAGAUGCAGGCGAAACCUCAGGAUCUAGUUUUGCCCUAAACCUUGAGACAAGAGGCAGAGGUAAUGACAAAAAUUCAAACCAGGGUAGAUCAAAAUCUAGAAAUUCUAAUCGGAACAGAAGCAAAUCUAGAUCAAGCCAACAAGUACAAUGUUGGAACUGUGGGAAAACAGGUCACUUUAAAAGGCAAUGCAAAAUCCCUAAGAAGAAGAAUGAAGAUGAUUCUACUAAUGUUGUAACAGAAGAGGUACAACAUGCAUUACUUCUUGUAGUAGACAGUCCACUCGAUGAUUGGGUUUUGGAUUCAGGAGCUUCGUUUUAUACCAUUCCACACCGAGAAAUCAUACAGAAUUAUGUUGCAGGUGAUUUUGGUAAGGUGUAUUUGGCUGAUGGUUCAGCCUUGGAUGUUGUGGGUCUGGGAGACGUCCGAAUAUCGUUACCCAAUGGGUCUGUUUGGUUACUGGAGAAGUUCGACAUAUUCCUGACCUAAGGAGGAAUCUGAUUUAUGUUGGACAACUUGAUGAUGAAGGACAUGCAAUACUAUUUGUUGGUGGUACUCGGAAGGUUACAAAGGGAACUAGGGUAUUGGCUCGUGGAAAAAAGACCGGUACACUGUAUAUGACCUCAUGUCCAAGAGACACAAUUGCAGUUGCUGAUGCAAGUACUGAUACAAGCCUAUGGCACCGUAGACUUGGUCACAUGAGUGAGAAAGGGAUGAAGAUAUUGUUAUCAAAAGGGAAACUACCAGAAUUGAAGUCCAUUGAUUUUGACAUGUGUGAAAGUUGCAUCUUAGGAAAACAAAAAAAAAGUGAGCUUCUUGAAAACUGGCAGGACACCGAAGGCUGAAAAAUUGGAACUAGUACACACUGAUUUGUGGGGGCCUUCUCUGGUUGCAUCCCUUGGUGGUUCAAGGUACUACAUCACUUUUAUUGAUGACUCAAGCAAAAAGGUAUGGGUUUAUUUUCUGAAAAAUAAAUUUGAUGUAUUUAAAGCUUUUAAGAAGUGGAAGGUCAUGGUUGAGACAGAAACAGAUUUGAAAGUAAAAUGUUUGAGGUCAGAUAAUGGAGGAGAGUACAUAGAUGGAGGGUUUAGUGAGUAUUGCGUUGCACAGGGAAUUAGAAUGGAGAAGACCAUUCCUGGGACACCACAGCAGAAUGGUGUGGUUGAGCGCAUGAACAGAACUCUCAAUGAGCGUGCUAGAAGAUGAGGUUGUAUGUUGGACUACCAAAAACUUUUUGGGCUGAUGCUGUUAGCAUUGCAGCUUACCUGAUAAACCGAGGACCAUCAGUUCCUAUGGAAUUCAGACUUCCUGAGGAGGUUUAGAGCGGUAAAGAGGUGAAGUUUUCACAUUUAAAAGUUUUUUGUUGUAUUUUUUAUGUUCAUAUUGAUUUUGAUGCUCGUAGUAAACUUGAUGCAAAGUCAAAAAUAUGUUUUUUCAUUGGCUAUGGUGAUGAGAAAUUUGGCUAUAGGUUUUGGGAUGAACAAAACAGGAAAAUCAUCAGAAGUAGAAAUGUGAUAUUUAAUGAACAGGUUAUGUACAAUGACAGGUCAACUGUAGUGUCAGAUGUUACAGAGAUAGAUCAAAAGAAAUCUGAGUUUGUCAACUUAGAUGAAUUGAUUGAAAGUAUUGUCCAAAAAGGGAGUGAAGAAGAUAAGGAGAAUGUAAAUUCACAAGUAGAUCAAAGUACACCUGUAGCUGAAGUUCGCAGAUCUUCCAGGAACAUUAGACCUUCACAGCGUUAUUCACCUGUUUUAAAUUAUCUCCUGUUGACUGAUGGUGGUGAGCCAGAGUGUUAUGAUGAGCCUUGUAAGAUGAGAAUUCAAGCAAGUGGGAGUUAAUCAUGAAGGAUGAGAUGGAUUCCUUGUUGGGGAAUCAAAUAUGGGAACUGACUGAAUUGCCAGUAGGAAAGAAGGCUUUGCACAACAAGUGGGUAUACAAAAUAAAGAAUGAGCAUGAUGGUAGCAAACGUUACAAGGCCAGAUUAGUUGUUAAAGGGUUCCAACAGAAGGAGGGCAUUGACUACACAGAGAUAUUUUCUCCAGUUGUGAAGAUGUCAACAAUUAGACUUGUACUUGGAAUGGUGGCUGCAGAAAACUUACAUCUUGAGCAGUUAGAUGUGAAGACAACAUUCUUUCAUGGUGACUUGGAGGAAGACCUUUACAUGAUUCAACCAGAAGGGUUCAUUGUUCAUGGACAAGAGAAUCUAGUCUGCAAACUGAAAAAGAGCUUGUAUGGCCUUAAACAAGCUCCUAGACAAUGGUACAAGAAGUUUGACAAUUUUAUGCAUAGAAUUGGGUUCAAGAGAUGUGAAGCUGAUCAAUGUUGCUAUGUUAAGUCCUUUGACAAUUCUUACAUCAUAUUACUAUUGUAUGUGGAUGAUUUUCUUAUUGCAGGGUCUGACAUUGAAAAGAUUAAUAAUCUGAAGAAGCAAUUGUCCAAACAGUUUGCAAUGAAGGAUUUGGGAGCUGCAAAGCAAAUCCUUGAUAUGAGAAUCAUUAGAGACAAGGCUAAUGGUACAUUGAAGCUUUCACAGUCAGAGUAUGUGAAGAAAGUUCUUAGCAGGUUCAACAUGAAUGAAGCUAAACCAGUGAGCACACCCUUGGGUAGUCAUUUCAAACUAAGCAAAGAACAGUCACCGAAGACAGAAAAAGAAAGGGACCAUAUGAGCAAGGUGCCCUAUGCCUCAGCUAUUGGCAGCUUGAUGUAUGCUAUGGUGUGUACAAGGCCAGACAUUGCACAUGCAGUGGGAAUUGUGAGUAGAUUCAUGAGUAGGCCUGGAAAGCAGCAUUGGGAGGCAGUCAAGUGGAUUCUAAGAUAUCUGAAGGGUUCAUUAGAUACAUGUCUUUGCUUCACAGGUGCAAGUUUGAAACUGUAGGGUUAUGUAAAUGCUGAUUUUGCUGGUGAUAUUGAUAGUAGAAAGAGUACUACUGGGUUUGUUUUUACUCUAGGUGGUACAACUAUAUCAUAGGCUUCAAAUCUACAGAAGAUUAAUUGUUACUUUGUCUACUACAGAAGCUGAAUAUGUUGCAGCAACUGAAGUUGGAAAGGAGAUGAUUUGGCUACAUGGUUUCUUAGAUGAAUUAGGUAAGAAGCAGGAGAUGGGCAUUCUACACAGUGAUAGUCAGAGUGCAAUUUUUCUUGCCAAAAAUUCGGCUUUUCAUUCAAAGUCGAAGCAUAUACAAACAAAAUACCACUUUAUCCGUUAUCUUGUUGAAGAUAAACUGGUAAUACUUGACAAGAUUUGUGGAUCUAAGAACCCGGCAGACAUGUUGACUAAGGGUGUCACUAUUGAGAAGUUGAAGUUGUGCGCAGCUUCAAUUGGUCUUCUAGCUUGAGGACAGGAGGAUGAGUUGUAGGGAUGAAGGAUUGUUUCUUGGAUGAUAGCGGUUUGAUGUUGGUGAUUGAACUAAUCUCCAAGUGGGAGAUUUGUUGGGCUUUGUGGAACCUAGUUUUGUUUGAUCCGGUUUGGCAACCUGACCCGAAUAAUAUUGCAUGGCUUUUUAAUGGGAGAUUCACUAAGGCUUGUUGGGCCCGUUUAGCCCAUUGUGGAACCACCUUUUGUAAUUAGGGUUUUUUAGUGUAGUGUGGUUGUUAUGUUAUAUAUAGAGAGAAAAUAUUGUAGCCGCUGUGGUGGUACUCUAUAUUCUUCCCUGAUAAUAGUGAUAUCUCUGCAACUCCGUGGACGUAGGCAAAUUGCCGAACCACGUAAAUACUGUCUUGUGCGUGUGAUUGUUUUUCUUUGGCGUGUGUUUUCUCUAAUUUUUGUUUCUCAUGGGUUGGGAAUUCAGUUUAAUUCCCUACAUGUUCAACUUAUACCUCUUCAUUUAUAAAGCCAUUUAAGAAAGCACUUUUCACAUCCAUUUGAUAUAAAACAAAGUCUUUAAAACAUGCAAAGGCAAUUAGCAUCCUAAUGGCUUCCAAUCUAGCUACGGGAGCAAAGGUUUCUUCAUAAUCUAUCACUUCUUCUUUAUUAAAACCUUGGGCUACCAAUCUUGCUUUAUUCCUUAUAAUUAUGUCAUUUUCAUCCAUUUUAUUUCUAAAGACCUAUCUAGUUCCAAUAACACUUUGAUUUUGAGGUCUUGGCACUAAUUCCCAUACUUCACUCCUUUCAAAUUGAUUUAACUCUUCUUGCAUGGCAAUCAUCCAAUUUUCAUCAAUUAGAGCAUCUUUUAUAGUUUUAGGUUCAAUUUGAGAGAUAAAAGCAAGAUUAUUGCAAAUAUUUCUAAGAGAUGAUCUAGUUCUUACCCCACUAGAUGGAUUACCUAUAAUUUGAUCUUGUAGGUGGUUGAUGACAAACUUCCAAUCUUUAGGGAGGUCUUGGCUUGAUUCACCUUGCACUUGUUGAAGAGGAGGUAGUGCCAAAGGUGAUUCUUCUUUCUUGGGAUCCUCUACAACUUCUUCUUAUUGCCUUCUAUCUUCAAUUUGUAAUUUUCCCAUAGAGGUCUCCAACCCUAAAUCAUCAUCAAAGCUCUCUCUUUCUUGGAGAGAAUUGUUAGAUUCAUAAAAAAUAACAUGGAUGGACUCCUUAACAACCAUGGUUCUUUUGUUAAAAACUCUAAAGGCUUUACUUGAAGUUGAGUAACCAAGAAAAAUUCCAACAUCCGAUUUUGCAUCAAAUUUUCCAAAUUUGUCUUUAGUGUUUAAUAUAAAUCAUUUGCACCCAAAGACUUUGAAAUAGCUAAUGUUGGGUUUCUUGUUUUUCCAAAGCUCAUAGGGAGUUUUCUUAAGAAUAGGCCUUAAUAAAAUUCUAUUUAAAACAUAACAAGAAGUGUUAACCGCUUCAGCCCAAAAGUAUUUUGGUAAAUUGUUUUCAUUUAGUAUGGUUCUAGCCAUUUCUUGAAGAGUUCUAUUUUUCCUUUCAACUACCCCAUUUUGUUGAGGAGUUCUAGGAGCCGAAAAUUUGUGAUUAAUACCAUGCUCAUUGCAAUAGUCUUCAAAAUUAAUAUUUUCAAAUUCUCUCCCAUGAUCACUUCUUAUACAAGUAAUUGUAAAACCUUUUUCAUUUUGAACCUUGUUGCAAAACUUUGAAAACUCAUAAAAGGCUUCAUUCUUUUGACUUAAAAAUAAGACCCAAGUGUAUCUAGAGAAGUCAUCCACAAUAACAAAAGCAUAAGAUUUUCCUCUAAGGCUUGGUGUCCUAGAGGGACCAAAUAAAUCCAUAUGCAACAAUUCAAGAUGCAUAGUUGUUGAAAUGAAAUUUUUGUUUUUAAAAGAGUUUUUGAUUUGCUUUCCCACUUGACAAGCUUCACAAACUUUGUCUUUUUGAAAAUUUAUUUUGGGAAGGCCUCUAACAAGUUCAUCUUUGUUGAGUUGGGAAAUGAGGUCCAUGUUAGCAUGUCUCAACCUCCUAUGCCACAACCAACUUUGAUCAUGCAUGCUUGAAAAGCAUCUAUCAUGGCCAUCAUAUUUUGAAAUAUUUAUUGCAUAAACAUUAUCACAUCUAUGGCCCAUGAAGAUGGUUUUAUCAUUUUGAAUAUCUUUGAUGAUGCAAUGAGAUGCUUCAAAAAUCACUUUAAAACCUUUGUCACAAAGUUUUCUUAUGCUCAAAAGAUUAUGUUUUAAACCAUCCACUAAUAAAACACUUUCAAUAAGAGAGGAUAUGUCAUUACCAAUGUUGCCUUGACCAAUGAUCAUUCCUUUUGAAUUGUCUCCAAAGGUAACGUAUCCUCCCUUUCUCUUUGUAAGGAAAGCAAACUUGGAUUCAUCCCCGGUCAUGUGUCUUGAGCAUCCACUAUCCAAGAACCACUUAUCCUUCUUUGAUCCCUAUAAAAUAAAAUUUAAGCUGAUUUAGGUACCUAUAUCUUUUUGGGUCCUUGAGGGUUAGUGACCUUGGAUUUCUCAACCCAAACCUUUUUAGGUUUAGCAUUUGAAUUCUUUUGAGAACAAUUUCUUAAGGGACAUGUACUACAAAUGUGCCCUCCUCUUCCACAAAAGUUGCAAGUGGUGGAAGGACUUGCACUUGCGGAUUCUUUUACAAAGUAGUUUUUAAAAUACUUUUGAUUUUUUUUUUUAAGAUUUGAAUCCUAGCCCUUGUUUGUCAAAGACACAUUUUUGGCUAGCUAAGAUCAUUUCAAAAUAUUUUUGUCCACAAGAGAAAAUUGAAAGAGAGGAGGUUAACCAUUCAUUUUUCUUUUUCAAAAUCUCAUUUUCUUUUUCAAGAUGAGUUUUAGAUAUUUCAACAAUUGAAAAUCUUUCUUUCACUUCUUCAAGUUCCUUUUCAAGUUCUUGAAUUUUCUUUUUAAGAGAAUUAUUUUUCAAACUAAGUUUUUCAAAAUCCUCAUAUAAUUCUUUAAAAACAUCAUGCAUAUCUUUAUCACUAAAGUUAGAUUUUACCUCAUCAAGAUCAUCUAUUUCCAUAAAGCACAUGUUUGCCACUUCCUUCUCAUUUUCUUCUUCAGAGGAUUCUUCACUUUCACUCCAAGUGGCCAUCAUUGCCUUCUUCAUUCUUCUCUUGGCUUCACUCUUGUAGAGAGGACAAUCAUAUUUAAUGUGUCCCGAUUUUUUGCACUUGAACCAUAUCAAAUCUCUUUUCUCUUCCCAUUUCUCCUUGUCACCAUGGGAUGAAGAUUCCUUUUUAGAAGGAUCCCUUCCAAAGGUGAAUUUCCUUCCUCUAAACCUUUCACUUCUCAUGUAUUUGUUGAGCUCUCUUGUGAUGAGGGCUAAAUCAUCAUCUUCAUCACUUGGCUUUUCUUCUUCAAAAUCUUCUUCUUCCUUGGUUGUAGCUUUGAGGGUUAUACUCUUCUUCUUUUUGUCUUCACCCUCUUGUAGCUUCUUUGUCAAAUUGAUCUCAUAUGUCAUUAAUGACCCUAUGAGCUCUUCUAUAGGUAGCUUAGUCAAGUCUUUUGCUUCUUGAAUUGCGGUGACCUUGGUAUGCCAUUUUGAUGGGAGAGACCUCAAUAUCUUCAUCACCUUCUCGAAUUCCUUGUAGGUUUUUCCCAAAGCUUCAAGACCAUUGACAAUGUCGGUGAACCUAGUAAUCAUCUCAACAAUAGUCUCAGUUUCUUUCAUUGAAAAUAAUUCAUAGUUAUGAACAAGUAAAUUGAUUUUUGACUCUUUCACUUGAUUAGUUCCUUCAUGAGUUAUUUCAAGCAACCUCCAAAUUUCUUUAGCCGAUUUGCAUUGUCAUAUUCUAUUAUAUUCAUUUCUAUCCAUAGCACAUUGCAAAGUAAAACCGGCUUUAGCAUUUAAUUGAAAGUUUCUUCUAUCAAGCUCACUCCAUUCUUGCUUGGGUUUUGGAACCAAAACUCCAUCAACUAGUUUAGUGGAAAAAGUUGGGUCAUCUUCAAUGACAUCCCAUACAUCUAAAUUAGUUGAUUGCAAAUACCAAGUCAUUUUAGUUUUCCAAUAGGAAUAGUCGGUUCCCGUAAAGAAUGAAGCUCUAUGUUUUGAAAAAAUUUCAGCUUGGGAUGAGCUUGAUGGAAUAGCCAUUUCCUCUUAGACGAUUAAGUCUUUAGAAAAAAACAAGAGGUCUAGCUCUGAUACCAAUUGAGAAAACAAAGGCUAUACUUAGUUAAGAAAAACACCCAAAAGGGGGGAGAGGGUGGUGAAUUGGGUUUUUAAAAUCUUUUCAAUCACAACAAAUUCAAACACAAUAUAAGCAAAAUAAAGAGAUAGAGUUUAGAGAAUUCAAACUUAGGUUUAUAGUGGUUCGGCACUUCCUUGCCUACGUCCACUCUCCUCAACCUCCUAAUUGAGUGAGGGUUCCACUAACUUGAAGCUUCAACCAAGCUUCCAAUCUUCUUACACUUAGAUUCUGGCUCCAAUGGGCUCUUACACAAUCUCUUCAAGAUUCAAACCUCUUGAAGGCUUUGACACUCAGAUUUUUAUAAGAAAUGAUCCCUCAACCUAGCUUAAGGAUAGCUCAAAUACAAGACAAAGCUAGGAUGACACACAAGAGUGCACUAAAUGAUAUGCAAGUGGUGAUUUAAUGCACUAUGAAAGAAAUGAGAGCUUUUUUAUCAAGAACAGGUAGGUAGGCUAUUGAAUGCAAGUGUUCUAUUGUAAUAAAUGAAGUGGAGCUCUCAAUUUAUUGGUUUCAAAACUCGGGAGUCAAAAACAGCAAAAGGUAACCUCGUCCGGUCGAGCUAAGGGUCGACCGGUUCACUAGCCAUUGGAGCAUUUAAUGCAUGACAGGUUACCGUUGCCUUAACCGGACCUCGACCGGUCCUCGACCGGACAUCGAUCGGUAAGAGAAUCCCCUCGACCGGGAAGAGAAGGCUACUGGGAAAGAGAGAAACUUUUUGGCCUCCCUCGACCGGUCCUUGACCAGACGAGCACAACCGGUUUACCGGUUCCUUAACCGAUUGAGCUGGUUGGCCAUAGCCUCGACCGAUUGAGCCUUUUUUGCCCCGAAAACCUAUUUUUUUAAUUCCUUUCUUUUCUAACACUUAGGCAAGGUCUUUAGGUAAAUCAUUAAGCCAAUUAUAAAAUAUUUUGCCUAAGGUACAUUACUUAAAAACUCAGGUUUUAAUGAAAUCGACGUUUUAAAUAAUAAACCAAGUUUUCAAAGAUGCAUGAAAUGUGUGAAAAUCCUAAGUGCACUCAUGCAUUCAUCUUACAUUAGUUUCCUAUUAUCACAAGUCUUACAAGCGUCUCGAUCUUGUAUCCAUUUGGUCCUUUGAUGAAUUUUCGAGUUUAUGCCUGAGAUUCUUAACCAUUAAAUAAAUUAGUCACUUAACCAUGGUUUGUUAUCAUCAAAACCCGAUUAGGAGAACCCUUGGGCUAACAAUAGCAAUAUCAUUUCCAGUGUUUAUUAAAUCAUCCACACAUAAAUAAACAAUGAGCAUUUUUCCUCCAUCACCAAUUUUAACAAAAAGUGUAUGCUCACAUUUUUUAAAACCUUUCUUCAAAAAAUAAGCAUCAAUCCUCCUACUAUACCAAGCUUGUGGGGCUUGUUUUAGUCCAUAUAAAGUUUUCUUUAAUUUAUACACUUUAUGCUCAUUUCCAACCUUAAUAUAACCAAGAGGUUGAUUAAUAAAUACCUGUUAAGAAUUGAGCUAUUUUUCCGUUCACAAACUCCGUUUUGUUGAACAUGUAAGUUGCAGUGAGUUGCCUCCUGAUUCUACGAUUCUCACAAAAGUUUGCAAAUUCUUAUGAGAUGUAUUCUCCACCACAGUCUGUACAAAGAACUUUGAUUGGGCUGCCCAUGUCUUUCUCAACUAGCACUUUAUAGGUUUUAAAGGCUGUAAAAGCUUCAUAUUUCUCCUGCAAAAAAUAUACCUAAGUUUUCUGACUAAAAUCAUCAAUGAAGGUAAUUAUGUAUCUUUUACCUCCAUUUGAAGAUGGAUGUAUUGGGCCACAUAGGUCAUAAUGCACCAGCUCCAAUGCCUUCUUUGCUCUCCAUGACUUUCCUUGUGGAAAUUGAUUUUGGUGUUGUUUGCCACUACACAUUCUUCACAAACUUGUUGAGGGAAUUCAAUUUGAGGAAGGCUAGUCACCAUUUUUUUUUUAUUAUAAUGUCUUGAGUCGAAAAUGCCAAAGCCUUGCAACAUCCUCCAUCUUAGUAGAGAAGCAUAAAUUAGUAACACUAUGGAGAUACAAAGGAAACAUACGAUUGGCAGUCAUAUGGACUUGAGCAAUCAGGCCUUUCUUUGAAUCAUGAAUUUUGCUCCAAUGAUUUCUCCUCCUAUGCAUGUGUCUCUCAACCAAGCACACAUUUUCUCCCUCUGAUAUCAACUUCCAUAGUCUUGUAUUUUUGCCCACGUUUUGAGGCAACAUGUCAAAGGCGAAGGUGAAAAACUUUAUGAAAGAGGAUUUGAUGAAAACAAAAAUGUUUUUAUGACUAUAGUUAAGAAUUCACUCAAGGCUUUUAUCAUUUUUAGAUUGUCAAUUAUAUUUUUCAUCUUUUUUGGACAAUGGUUGAUGUACAAAAGGUUUUAUAGUUAAGAAUUAACUCAAAGCUUCAUCAUCGUCUUUUUCAAGGAGUUAUAUAACCUCAUAUAUUCAAGGACAUACUCUUGGUACUUAUCAAAACAAUUAAUCUUAAUCAGUCAUGAUAAAAACUCAAUUAAUCCUAGAUUGACUAUUCAAAAUAUGUGCCAUCAAUAUGCCUUUAUUACAACAAAAAUUAGUGCUUUUGAAAAAUUAAUGUUUUUAUAUAAAGGACAAACAUUCAAACUUGGUGUGCAAUUCCUCGUGACAGUAUCCCAUUUAAUUUUUAGUAUAAACAUAUUCUAUUUUCACUAUGUUAUUUUUAACAAGCUCCCUAAUAUAGUAUAAUCAAAUGUUAAUAUGCUUAGUCCUACUACGCUUAUUGAAAUCGAAGCAAUUAUUGCACUACUAUUAUCACACAAGAUGAACAUAGUAUUGCAUUUGAUUCCAAAAUCUUCUAUCAUCUAUUUAAUCCAAUUUAUUGAGUAUAAGAAUUACCUAUACUAUUCAACUUUUGUAGUAGAUAAGCAAAUAUAAUUCUGCCUUUUUCUCAUCCAUGCAACGAAGUUGCUCCUGACGUAAAAUCAACCUCUUGUAGUACUGUUUUAUAAUACAAGAAACCUAGAGUAAUAUUGUUAGUACACUAUAACCCUAAAUUGUAAGAUCUAGCAAUACAGUUGAUGAUCAUUUUUACUAUUGCGAGACGAGAUUCUUUUGGGCUUGAUUGGUAGCACAAAAACCUACACUACAUGCUAUGUCUAGCCUACUAGAUGUAAGAUACAAGAGAUCUCCAAUCAUGCUUCUAUGUGAUGUAGAUUGAUCAAUCUCCUUACUUUUUUCAUCCUUGGAGAACAUAACACUUGUUCUGACAAAGGUUCUCUCAUGUUUAGCUGAUUCCAAGCCAAACUCUUUACCAACUCUAUAGCAUAAUUGACUUCGAUAUAAAGAUUCCAUUUUUAAUCUGUCUUAUUUGCAGUCCAAGAAAGUAAAAUAACUUUUUCAUUGUGCUCAUUUCCUGAAUAAAUUCAUGUGCUUCAUCAGUUAAUGUGAAACUAAAUUUGAUGUUAUCGACAUAUACUUGGGCUACUACAAGGACACCAUCCUUUCUCCUUACAAACAAAGUCCUAUGAAAUGUAUGUCUUUCUUUAUAAGAUGGUUAAAAAAUAUUUUUAAACUUAUUUUUUACGAUGAAGAAUAAAUUUUAAUGAAAGUAGUAGAUGAAGAGUACAUGAGAAAGAAUUUCGUUUUAUAGUAAAAUUUUAUUAGAAUAAAAGGAGUUUCUUUUAUUGUGUGAAUUUUUUAUUUUUUGAAAGAAUUAAGAAUAAAAUAUAAAUUUUUUUUACUAAGAAAAAGGGUAAUAUUAAGACUAAAAUUUCAUAUAAUUUUAAAAAUAAGGGACCAUGUUUUGCUACAAGUGCAAUAUAUCUAAUUUUUUAGAAUUCAAUUAGUAAUGAGUAAUGAGAACAAAAGAAAAAGGAAUCCUAAAUUUUAUAACUACAAAUUAAGAUAUGCAUAUUAAUUAAAUUGAAUUAAAAUUAAAAUAUAAAAUUGAAUAUUAUAAUUAUAUAAGAAGAUGUGACAACAAAUAAAAUCGUUCUAAUGUGAUAUUUGAAUGUAUGUCAAGCAAGUAGCAACAUAUGUUUAUGAAAUGGCAAAAGAACAAAAUCCCUUUUUAUAAAGAUAUGAAAGUCCCCUAUUUUUCCCAAAACAGACAUUAAUUGAAGAAGAUGGCAUGUGGUGCGCCCAUUCAAAGUGACUGUUAUAUUAAGGGCUCCACAGGCUUGUUAAUGCUGCUUUGUCUCUUGCAUAGGCCCUUUUGUAUACGGUUUGGGAUAAAAGCCUGCUGGGCAUUUACAACCCAUCUUUGUUGGCCUCUUCUCAGCUUUGACCAAAUCCUAGCUUUCACAUGCACACCUGCACCAUUUCUUGUUCCUGCUCUACAGGACCGGCGAAAAUGACAACAUAUCUUGUUUUCAAAAUCAAGAGGAGUGCACCUACUAUAUUUUAUUGAGCUUAAUGUGAUUUGUCAUCAAAAUAAGGGUUUUAAGAAAAGGAACUUAUCUUAGUCUACUACAAUGUGAACAUCUUAGUUUAGAUGACACAAGUAGUACAUUCCUAUCCAACGAGAAUGAGAAUAGGAAUCUAAGUUUUCAAUGUGAAGAAUAUAGUCUAAGUCUAGGUGAUAUGAUAAGUAUAUUUCUAUCCAAUGAGAAUAUUAAAACUUUAAAAAAAAAAUGCUGCACAACACCCACAUAAUAUUUAUUUCAUCAAUACUUAGAAAACACAAACUCGAGUAGCACGAUAAGUUAUAAAAGAAACAUCUUUCUUUAAAGCGCUCUCCAAUCAUGGACAACACUCUCAAGAAGUCCCAAACGUAGAGGCAAACACAAUUUUAUUACCCUUGAUAAUAUUAUUAGGCAAGGGAGGGGGAUUGGACCAAUGCAACUAGUCCUAGAAGCAUCACUUGGCAUUUCACAUCACAGCUUUUCCUCUUUGGUGUGGUACUUGACGUUGAAGCAAUUGACGCCAACGUAAACACCAUCAUCCAUAUUGUAAACAACAUUUUUCCCGUCGGUCAAAGUGUCGUGCUGAGUGUAGGAGAAAGGGACGUCGCACGAACCCUGUGUUGCUAUCAUGCUUACGGUCACCUUAGUCAUCGCCGGCACAGUAACAUUGUACACAGUCUCCAUUGCUGUUGUCACUGAUUCAGUUUCUCCCCACUCAUAUGUACCGCUAAACUCGGAUGAAAUUUCUAACUUUCCGUCAGCGAUGAAUGGAACGCCGCUUUCCAUGGUCAUUUUGACACCCAACUUCAAUGAGACGCUGCCCUUCCAAGUACGGCUCUUAGUCUCUGUAUACGAGAGCUUCACCUGUUGGGUGUGCAGUUCUUGGGUCAUGUUAAUGGCUUCCCCGGUGGUCAUCACGAUGACCCUCUGGUCGUAGGUCCUAGCGUCCAUGAGGCGAAAAUUGACAUUAUAGAUGUUUCUUGAUAAAACAAGCUCUGCCACCUCCAGGCGUGCCUCUCUGGAAAUUGUGGAGACCCCGGCAUUGAGACAGCUGAUCUUGCCCUCGGUGGUGAGUCUCUUACAGAAAUUGUUGUUACCUAAGUUGCGGAGAGCGACCACAUUUUUGUCAACUCUAACGGGCCAAAACAAGGUAUCGGGGUUGUUGGUGGUGGAAUCAUCUGAGUCAGCCCAUAUCCAGUUAGGGCUGCGCCUCCAGAAUCUGCCGAAGUAAUCUGACUUUAUGUGGACACUUCCAUCGUGAGUGGUGAAGACCUCGUUCCCCACCGUCGGGUCUCCAAUGUCACUUGAUGCGAACUCCAGAUAUGGGUGUCCCUCGAUCGUCCGGGCACUGAGGAAGUAGCCAUUAUCACCCUUGAAGGCGAUAUGUUUUGGCAAUAGCAAUAGUGAUUCCCAAUCAAUGAUUGUACAGACAUCGCAGAGGUCGUUGUCAGGCGAAGUUGAUCCUGCAAACAAACAAGAACCAUAAGGAGGUGGAAGCCUCCAUAAGCAUGCAUAGUGUCCAAGCUGGACGUGGCGAAAUUGGAGUGUUUGAGCAUCGCCAUCCACGUAGACAGGCUCAAACAAGGUACAUGACCAUGACGAUUGGUCUUCAUCUGGUUCGUCGGCCCCGGCAACAAUCCACCAGUGGUUCUUGGACCACCUUACCCAGUAUUUGUUGUUGUAGCAGCAUCUUAUGUGCACUAGUCCCUUGCCAUUCUUUGCCAUCUCCACUUGGUACUUUGAGUAGGGGGUCACGACCUCCUCUCCCGAGAAUUGGAGAAAUCCAUG